This 76-nucleotide transfer RNA is filed under the name Planctomycetota bacterium. RNAcentral's name for it is "Planctomycetes bacterium (gut metagenome) tRNA-Asn". It matches the Rfam family "tRNA". Rfam says of the family: Transfer RNA (tRNA) molecules are approximately 80 nucleotides in length. Their secondary structure includes four short double-helical elements and three loops (D, anti-codon, and T loops). Further hydrogen bonds mediate the characteristic L-shaped molecular structure. tRNAs have two regions of fundamental functional importance: the anti-codon, which is responsible for specific mRNA codon recognition, and the 3' end, to which the tRNAs corresponding amino acid is attached (by aminoacyl-tRNA synthetases). tRNAs cope with the degeneracy of the genetic code in two manners: having more than one tRNA (with a specific anti-codon) for a particular amino acid; and 'wobble' base-pairing, i.e. permitting non-standard base-pairing at the 3rd anti-codon position. Lineage: Bacteria; Pseudomonadati; Planctomycetota. The record is from RNAcentral.
UCCCCUGUAGCUCAGUUGGUAGAGCAACGGACUGUUAAUCCGUGUGUCGCAGGUUCGAGUCCUGCCGGGGGAGCCA